This 457-nucleotide ribosomal RNA is filed under the name Porphyromonas sp. oral taxon 278. RNAcentral describes it as "bacterial SSU rRNA". It matches the Rfam family "Bacterial small subunit ribosomal RNA", at positions 28 to 474 of the family's 1533-position model. Lineage: Bacteria; Pseudomonadati; Bacteroidota; Bacteroidia; Bacteroidales; Porphyromonadaceae. The record is from RNAcentral.
GAUGAACGCUAGCGAUAGGCUUAACACAUGCAAGUCGAGGGGCAGCAUGGUCUUAGCUUGCUAAGACUGAUGGCGACCGGCGCACGGGUGCGUAACGCGUAUGCAACUUGCCUCACAGAGGGGGAUAACCCGUCGAAAGACGGACUAAUACCGCGUACACUUACAGGAGGGCAUCCUUCAGUAAGGAAAUGAAUUUCGCUGUGAGAUAGGCAUGCGUCCCAUUAGCUAGUUGGUGAGGUAACGGCUCACCAAGGCAACGAUGGGUAGGGGAACUGAGAGGUUGAACCCCCACACUGGUACUGAGACACGGACCAGACUCCUACGGGAGGCAGCAGUGAGGAAUAUUGGUCAAUGGGCGAGAGCCUGAACCAGCCAAGUCGCGUGAAGGAUGACUGUCUUAUGGAUUGUAAACUUCUUUUGUAGGGGAAUAAAGAGGGGCACGUGUGCCUCAGUGAAU